Molecule: ribosomal RNA, 257 nt
Filed under: Serratia oryzae
Lineage: Bacteria; Pseudomonadati; Pseudomonadota; Gammaproteobacteria; Enterobacterales; Yersiniaceae
Description: partial 23S ribosomal RNA
Rfam family: Bacterial large subunit ribosomal RNA
Source: RNAcentral
CCGGAGUGAACGCACCACUGGUGUUCGGGUUGUCAUGCCAAUGGCACUGCCCGGUAGCUAAGUGCGGAAAAGAUAAGUGCUGAAAGCAUCUAAGCACGAAACUUGCCUCGAGAUGAGUCUUCCCUGGGCCUUUAAGGCCCCUGAAGGAACGUUUAAGACUAAGACGUUGAUAGGCUGGGUGUGUAAGUGCAGCGAUGCAUUGAGCUAACCAGUACUAAUGAACCGUGAGGCUUAACCUUACAACACCGAAGGUGUUU